CCUGGCGGCCAUAGCAAGCGGGAACCACCUGAAUCCAUUUCGAACUCAGAAGUGAAGACGCUUAGCGCCGAUGGUAGUGUGGGGUCUCCCCAUGUGAGAGUAGGACACUGCCAGGC
This 116-nucleotide ribosomal RNA is filed under the name Gammaproteobacteria bacterium. Lineage: Bacteria; Pseudomonadati; Pseudomonadota; Gammaproteobacteria. The record is from RNAcentral.